CGGUAGCUCAGUGGUAGAGCGUCCGACUGUUAAUCGGAUGGUCGUAGGUUCGAAUCCUACCC
Molecule: transfer RNA, 62 nt
Filed under: Hyphomicrobium denitrificans
Lineage: Bacteria; Pseudomonadati; Pseudomonadota; Alphaproteobacteria; Hyphomicrobiales; Hyphomicrobiaceae
Rfam family: tRNA
About the family: Transfer RNA (tRNA) molecules are approximately 80 nucleotides in length. Their secondary structure includes four short double-helical elements and three loops (D, anti-codon, and T loops). Further hydrogen bonds mediate the characteristic L-shaped molecular structure. tRNAs have two regions of fundamental functional importance: the anti-codon, which is responsible for specific mRNA codon recognition, and the 3' end, to which the tRNAs corresponding amino acid is attached (by aminoacyl-tRNA synthetases). tRNAs cope with the degeneracy of the genetic code in two manners: having more than one tRNA (with a specific anti-codon) for a particular amino acid; and 'wobble' base-pairing, i.e. permitting non-standard base-pairing at the 3rd anti-codon position.
Source: RNAcentral